AUUUAAAUAAUUUAAUUAAAAUAUUGAUUUGUGGAAUCAAAUAUAUGAUAUAGUAUCAUUUUAAAUU
This 67-nucleotide transfer RNA is filed under the name Theretra latreillii lucasii. RNAcentral's name for it is "tRNA-His". Lineage: Eukaryota; Metazoa; Arthropoda; Insecta; Lepidoptera; Sphingidae. The record is from RNAcentral.